UUGUGCUCAGAGUCCUUAUAACUCCGGAAUUCAUUUUGCACGCACAGGACAUCUGCUGAUUUUGCAGAAAGGGUCCUGGGAAGCUUCUCAAAAUUUAGAAGGCUCCUUAUGCAAGACGUAGGGGUGUGUUAAUGAGCUACCCCUUUUCUAUCCUCCCGAUAUUCUAGAUGGCUUAACCCUUUUCUAUCCUCCCGAUAUUCUAGGUGGCA
Molecule: unclassified non-coding RNA, 209 nt
Filed under: Hevea brasiliensis (rubber tree)
Lineage: Eukaryota; Viridiplantae; Streptophyta; Magnoliopsida; Malpighiales; Euphorbiaceae
Source: RNAcentral